UGUCUUCUACAUUUAGCAAAUCCCUGUUUGCUGUCUAUAGGGUCUGGUGCCAUUCUAUGUCAACGCAACAGCAGGAACCACAGUCUAUGGAGCCUUUGACACUCUGAAUGAAAUAGCAGACAUAUGUGAACACCAUGGCCUGUGGAUGCAUGUGGAUGCUGCUUGGGGUGGAGGCUUGCUUCUGUCCAACAAACAUCGUGUGAAACUGCAAGGAAUUGAAAGAGCCCAUUCUGUGACCUGGAACCCGCACAAGAUGAUGGGCGUCCCACUGCAAUGCUCAACCAUUCUAGUGAAGAGGAAGGUGAGCUGAGCUGG
Molecule: long non-coding RNA, 315 nt
Organism: Sinocyclocheilus anshuiensis
Lineage: Eukaryota; Metazoa; Chordata; Actinopteri; Cypriniformes; Cyprinidae
Exons: 3
Source: RefSeq, a predicted model, not a curated record